This is a long non-coding RNA of Stegodyphus dumicola, 5806 nucleotides long. The record is from RefSeq and is a predicted model, not a curated record. Lineage: Eukaryota; Metazoa; Arthropoda; Arachnida; Araneae; Eresidae.
CACCAAAAUCUCGCUGAAUGUGCUCCCUGUUUGUUGUCAGCGGUGGUAAGUAUGUAUAAUGGUAGAGGUAAGUUUGUUUCCGAGUAAGAGACGACUUUGCGAAUAAGUAGUGUGGCGUAUAUUUAAUUGAUACUUUCUUUCGUUAAUACAGGACUCGUGGUGCUAGUAGUGGAUGGCAAUUGUGCUACGUUUUUAAGUGCAAUUAAGAAAGGGAACAUUUUUGACCAAGGGGAAAGAGUGGUAAACUAGCAAACUGAAGAAAUACCUGAUCGUCGGCUGUUGGGUAUAAAUUUUGAGGGACAAUAUUAUAAUUACAGAUGAUAAACGUUUCGAUAGUAAUUGCAUGUAGUAUGAUGAGUGGAGUCUUUAUUUUUUAAAAUUUUGAUUCUAAAUGUUUUAGUGUAUGAGUAUAUGUGCCGGUGCAAACCGGGAAAUUUCUUUUGAUUGGAAUUUUUCAGACAAUUUUGACCAGUAAUUGAAUGAAGAAUAGAAGCAUUUCACGAUUGGAAUGUGAUGAGAAUGUAAAAAAAAAAAAAAAAAAAAAAAUACGUAUGUCUUCAACUAUAUCUAAUUUUGUGAAAAAAAAUGCGUGUCUAUUUCUAAUUUUUUUUUAUGUAAUCUAUUUUAUGUAAAUCCCGAGCGUAAGCUUGGGUAGAUCUGGUUUUUUUGUUUGUUUGUUUGUUUCAGAUUGUAGUGCGGUUAAAUGAGACUGCGUUUCGAAAUUGUGCGGUGGAGAAUGCGGUAAUGAGUAAUAGCCCAGAAAUCGUAACAUGACAUUUUUUAUCUACCUGUAAAUUAAAUAUUUGUUACAUGAGUGAACCGAAUUUGCAUAACAAUUUCGUUUCAUUACAGGAUAUAAAUGGUGUAACCGAAGUGUCGAACGUGUAAUAUGUAAAUUAUCUUCCUUUGUUCUACGCACUUUUGCGGGAAGGGAUAUAGGCAUCUAGAUUUGUAUUAAGCGUGUUAUCCGAAAACUAUGAUUAGUGGCAAAAUAAGUAUAAAUUUUUAUUUGUUUAAUGAAACAAUUAUGAAAUGAAUUUAAACUUUGUUUUAAAAAUUGUUUAUUUGUUUUAAAAAUUGUUUAUGACCAGUUUCUGGCGUGUGCAGUUUACCCUGUGCUGUUUCAUUUGUUGCAGUGUGCGAUGUUGGAGUAAGGUAUUGCUGCCGGUAUCUAUUUUUUUCGUCUUAAUAUUUAUUUUUAAAUAAACGUUGCUAAAGCGAGUCUCAUUUUUAUCUGAUUUUUUAUUGAAUGUUAAAUUUUUAUUAAUUAAAGCGAGUAUUUAAUGAUGUCUUAUGUUUGCAGUUAUAUUUUUCUUGAUGCCUUUUUAUUAAUUUUAACAAAAGUUAAAUUUCCAUUAUUGUUGAAAAUAUGUGCUUGCAGAAAAACCCGUGUCGUAGUUGAAUUAACUAUAAUUAUACUGUAAAGCAUCGAAUGUUAAAACGUGAAAUUAUGAGUGCGAUGUACUGGGCGUAAGCCCAGCAAAAUGUUUUCGUUUCUCUUUUUUGCAGAUACUUUUCGACCGUGUAAAGCAAUCAAGAAAUCAGAAUGUUGAAAACUAACCUGUUCGGUGGUAAGAUAAACUUAUAAAAAACUUAUAAAAUUACGAUUGUUGAAGAAAAAAUUGGGAACUGACAAUUGAAAACCAAAGUGAGUUAAUAUACAGAGGAGUACUUGGAGAAAGACCAACUCUGUCCCAUGCAUAAAAGUUUUGUUUUGACCGUUUAGAGGACAUAUUCUUCGUGGUCCUGGGAAAAGACGUUGGCUGACCUGUGGGAGCAUAUUUCAAUUUGCAAAUGCUUGGUAAAAUUUAAGAAUUUUUCAUUCUUUACAUAUUUAUCAGAUAAAAGAAUUAGGUAUUUUAUGAAAUAUGCUAUCGUGAAUAUUCCAAUUAAUAAUUGGUCACAAAAAUUUAUUUGUGAAAGUGAAAAUGAGUCCUAGCACAUUCUAGACCUGCCGAUCUUAAAAUUUUCCCAUUGGGUAUUUCAGAUCUGCAGUAUGAAGGCUAAAAGAAUUUGAAGAGCUUUCCAUUUCUUGUGAUAAAUCAAAGGUUAUAAAAUUAGGUUUUUGAUUUUCAGGUGAAAGAAACUAGUUUCUUAAAGAAAAAGUAUUAUUGAAAAAAAUUGAGCUGUAAGGUGGCUGUUUAUGCAUAUUCUAGUACUUGCAGAGGUCUAAUUUUCCCCAUUUGGUAAUUUUCAUGUUUUUCAUCAAGUAUUGACAAAAUUUUUGAUUUUUUUGUAAGAAUUAUAAGAUAUAAGAAGUGCUAAUAAAUACUGUAAUUAUCUUUAACUGUGUAGCAUCGAUUUUUUUUGGUGUAAAAUUAAGAUAUACUGGGCAAAGCCCAGGGAAAUGUUUUCGUUUUUCUUUUUUUUUCCAGACAUCUUUCGACUGAAAAUCACAAUGAAGGUGGUCAGAAUGUUGAAACUAUAAACUGCCCCGUUUCGUGGUAAGAUUGACUUGAUCAUAUUGGAUGGAACACGGAAACUGGCAAUUAAAAAACAAAGUUUGUUAGCUUGUUUUGAUUCGUUUUUUUAAGUUUAGAUGCUUGAAUUACUUAACGUACGUUAGCCAUUUUUUUAACGCUGUUGAAUAGGAAUGAAUACAGCAAGUCGCAAUAAGAGGCGUACUUGGAUCGACUCCGACUCUUGUCUGUUAUUGACUGGUUAGAAGACAUAUUCCUGGUUGUUCUGGAAAAUGACACUGGCUGCUGAGCUGUAGGAGCAUAUCUUAAUUUUCAAAUGUUUGACGCCUAUCGACUGUGUAAAGCAUAAUCAAGAAUGGUCAAAAAGUUGGAAAAAUAAAACUACCCCAUUAGGUGGUAAGAUUAACUUGAUGAUAUUGAAGGAAAAGAAAAUCGGGAAUCGACAAAGUUUGUUAGCUUGUAUUCAUUCAUUUUAUUUUAAAUCAUUUAGAUAGUUAUCAUUUAGAUGCCAAGUUACCAAAAUUUUUAACACUGUUGAAUAGGAACAUCAGUUAGCAAGUUUUCUACAGACACACGGGUAAUGCGAGAGGGACCAACUCGGUCUUUUGUUAUGACUGUUAGAAGACGUACUGCUGGUGGUCAUCGGAAAUGAAAUUGGCUGUUAAACUGUAGGAGCAUAUCUUAAAUUUCAAAUGUGUGGUAAAAUUUUGGAAUUUUUAUUCUUUCUAAAGUUAAUCGGAGUAAAAUUUAUAAUACUUGUGAAUAUUCAAUUACUAAUAGAUCUUGCAAAUACUAAUAGAUCUUGCAAAAUAACUCAUCUUUUAAAGUAAAAAAAAAGUAAAAAAAUAUGUAGAUCUUAAUUUUCUUAAAAGAAAUUGAUUAUUUAAAGAAUUAAGCUAUGUAAGCACAUUCUAGCAUACCUGCAGAUCUCAAAUUUUCUUACCAGUUAUGUUUUUUUAUCUGCAGUUGUAUGAAGGCUAGGAAGAGUUUGCAAAGCUUUUCACAUUUUUUUUGCAUGUGAAGGUAUAGGAAUGUGAAUUGAGCAGUUGCAUAUUUUCUUCUGAAUGCUUAGAAGUAAAAAAUUUGUUUUUAAAAUUGCUAAAAUUUGGCAGGAUUCUUGUCAUUUUAUAUUCUAAGGAUAUUGAAUUUUAAUUAAUGCUCUUAAUAAUAAAAAUUCAUUUGUAAUAUGAAUGUUUUGCACAAUUAACUGAGGUGUGCCUAAAAAUAACUAGACUAUGUAAAUGUUUUUAUUAAAGUAGUUAAACUAAACUAUAUUUAAGUGUUAAAAAUGGGAUAUACUGGGCUUGGCCCAGUCGAAAUGUCUUCCUCUUUCUUUUCAGAUUUUGUUUUUGGAAAAAUGUGUUCUUUUGGCCAUGGGAGAUGGUAGAUUUCUACAGUAAAAGUUAGUCUGAAGCAAAUAACAGAAUGUGAAGUUAGCUUGUUUUAAUAAAUUUUCCUAUUAGUUUCUAAAGAAGAAUAAUUUUUAUUUUUAGUUUGAUUAAAACUUGCAUACAUUUAGCAGCCAAAUUUUUUAUGUUAUUCAACAGGCUCUGUAUUUCCCAAGGUACAUCCCACGAGUGAUAAAAUUGCAUUCCUUUUUCUCUUCUGCCUCUUUGAAUUCUGGAGACAAAAUGCCCUACUUUCUCAGCAGGGAAAUGUUCUCGAUUGUCCUGUCUGCUUUUACAUUUAGAAGAGUUAUCCCAACAAGUUGUCAGCUGUUGCAGGAAAUCAAAUCUCUUAAACCCAAGAAACAUGCCCUGUUGCAGGAAAUCGAAUCUCUUAAACCCAAGAAAUAUGUGCCAUGAGCUGUUUGUUGACUGUGAGAGCUAUGUUGACAACUGUAACUCCAUUAGUACAAAUAAGUGAAAAGCAAUCUCGUUUAGAAGUAGCUGAAGGUUACAAUUAUAUGUUUGUAUUGAAUUUAAAGUAAUUAAUUAUUAACUUAACAGAUUUUGUGCUAAAAUAAAAUUUGAAGACUACCUUAUUUAGAAAAGACCUGUGUAUAAGAGAGCUAUGUUGACAACUGUAGAUCCUUAGUACAAAUAAGUGAAAAGCAGUAUUAGCUGGAGGUAACAAUUAUGUGUUUGUAUUAAAAAAUUUUAAGUAAUUAUUAAUUUACUUGACAGAUUUUGUGCUAAAAUCUAAUUUGAAGACUACCUUAUUUAGAAAAGAGAGUUUUAACAGUUUAAAGUUUAAAACAAUACCUGUUCAAGAACAGUCAAUUUGUUUAUACCUAUUUAAGAACAGUCAAUUUGUUAAAUAGGUUUAAAUGUCUUAUGUAGUAAGAUGAAAAAAAAAAAGUGCUAUUAGUAUGAGAACUGCAUACACUAGUUUGAAACAGGAAAGCUGCUUCAGUGUAUGAAUAAUAAAAAAAAAGUUGUUUCAGUUAUUUGCAGUUAAUGCAUGGAUUAUAACAAGUUGUUUUAAUUAUUUGCUAAAUUUUAAAAUUGUAGGCAUUGGUUGCAUCAUAAUGGAAGAAUUAAAAAAAAUAGUUUUGAUAAAGAAGCUGAUACUUUCAUAACUGAAAUUUAAUUUUUAUCUUGAUGCUUCCUCUGUAGUACUGUAUUUUGAACAGAAAUUCUGUUUACUGAAAUCAAUCGGGACAACCUGAAAUAUUUCUGAUGUUAAUCACUUAAAUCUAGUUGAAGGAAAUAUAUUUUCUUUAAAUAUAUAUGAAAAUAGCACUUUUAUAAGAAAGCAAAUUGAAUGUUCAAAUUCCGGAAAGAAAUAGCUUAAGUUAUGCCUAUAAAAAAAGUAUUGAGUUAAUAGAUGUUUUUAAAAUUGAUUGCAGAAAUGAGAUGGUUUGGUUUUUUCAGGGGAAUCUUAACACCAGUAAGAAAAGCAUAACUUAAAAAGUUCUAUUUCUGGAAGAGUGAAAGGUCUUGCAUUUAACUGAAUAAAAUUUUUAGUUAACUAAAAUUUUUAAUCAAGUUAAAACAACAUGGAGUCUAAUAAGUGUGCUUUAUCUAUUAGUGUCUUUUCUUUUCAUUGGUAGUAUCUGUAGAUAAGUUAUUUGACCCAUCUGGAUCUUAGGAGCUGUGUUAUUUCCUAUUUUUCAAAUGUGUCCCUAUUUGCAAGUUUAGUGAAAAUUCGCUCCAGAACUCCCACUGCAACAGUAACGUGAUAGAUGUGUGGUAAAACUAUUAGUAUAUUCUGCACAAUUGCCUCUCCACAACAGAAUUUAAAUACACAGGACUAAUGGACUAAAUCAUGUGUGUGAAGUUGAAUGAUGUUAUAAUUGGAUUUUAACUAUAAUUGUAUGAAAUAAUUCAUAUGUAAAAUAUUUUGCUAAUCUGUGAAAUAAACUAGGCACUGAUAAAUUCAAUUCUUGCAUUAUGUAAAAUACAUAUAUGAAAAAUGUGUUAAUAAAGAUACUAAAAUGUCCA